Molecule: long non-coding RNA, 366 nt
Filed under: Lupinus angustifolius (narrow-leaved blue lupine)
Lineage: Eukaryota; Viridiplantae; Streptophyta; Magnoliopsida; Fabales; Fabaceae
Description: long non-coding RNA (LANG_LNC002323)
Source: RNAcentral
AAUAGGAGUGUUUUUGUAUAGGUGAAGUGAAAUUGAAAGUGGAGUGUGUAAAAGUGGUGAAGCACAUUCCCUAAUAAACCACCUAUGGUACCAGUACUCAUAUUCUCUAACUAUGAUUCGAGCAAUUGGCUAUAUCAUGAUUCAUGAGUGAUUCUUCAUGAUCUAAUGGAAACAAAUCAAUAGCUAUAGUUGAUGAGGAGACAACAACAUACACUAGUUAGUGCCAAUCAUAGAUGAGGAGACAUGAGCAGUAGCAGUAGGAAAGAACAAUAAUGGGUGAACCACAUAACUAUAGUUGAUGCUCUAUUCAGGAUUUUGGGUACAGCGACAAGGUUAAGUAAUGGGGUCAACUCCUCCAAAUUAAGG